GGCGCGUUCGUCUAACGGUUAGGACAUCAGAUUUUCAAUCUGAUAACAAGGGUUCGACUCCCUUACGCGCUA
Molecule: transfer RNA, 72 nt
Filed under: Parcubacteria group bacterium CG2_30_36_38
Lineage: Bacteria
Also listed under: 3 other names
Description: tRNA-Glu
Rfam family: tRNA
About the family: Transfer RNA (tRNA) molecules are approximately 80 nucleotides in length. Their secondary structure includes four short double-helical elements and three loops (D, anti-codon, and T loops).
Source: RNAcentral